This 602-nucleotide long non-coding RNA is filed under the name Dasypus novemcinctus (nine-banded armadillo). RNAcentral describes it as "lncRNA (ENSDNOG00000052667.1)". Lineage: Eukaryota; Metazoa; Chordata; Mammalia; Cingulata; Dasypodidae. The record is from RNAcentral.
CCGGCGCGCACUCCUGCCUCCUUCCCUUCCGCUGCUGAGGAGGCGGGAGCCGUGUCUGCACCGACCAAGCUGAGGUCUUGGGCAGGAGUCGGCUGGCGAAGUAGAAACUCCGGUAGCGGGGCGGCAGCGGGGGUCAAUCAGGCUGCGACGGUGUUGCCGGGGCUCCGCUGAGCCCGGCCGCUCCUGGCACCGGGAGCCUGCGGUGUGAGGUGGCCGGAGGAGGCAGCAAGUGAAGCUGUGAGAUUAAGGCUUCCAGGGCAAAACCUCGGGCACCUCCAUAAUCUCGGGCUCCAGCCGCCGUUACUAGCCCACCAUCAAGCCGACCCCAACUACUUGUGCAGCAUGCUUGGCCGCCUCAGGAUCGUCCAAGUGAGAGAAGUCCAAAGAGUUAUCACCCUGUCUUUGGAGUACAAUUCUGAAGUCCAUCAACAGUGCACCCUCAGGAUUUCAGGUUGAUGCUGUGAAGCCAUUUGGCUUGUUUGAAGAUUUCUUGGAUGUUGGUCUCCACUUGCCUGGCAUUGUUGCUCCAUGUACAACAAGUUGUGUUGACAACAGAACAGAUGCCUCCUUCUUCUGCCAUAAGGUAGUCUAAAGCUAAUCAG